Molecule: ribosomal RNA, 253 nt
Filed under: uncultured bacterium
Lineage: Bacteria
Description: partial 16S ribosomal RNA
Rfam family: Bacterial small subunit ribosomal RNA
Source: RNAcentral
UACGUAGGGUGCAAGCGUUGUCCGGAUUUAUUGGGCGUAAAGAGCUCGUAGGCGGUCUGUCGCGUCGGAUGUGAAAACCCAGGGCUCAACCCUGGGCCUGCAUUCGAUACGGGCAGACUAGAGUACGGCAGGGGAGACUGGAAUUCCUGGUGUAGCGGUGAAAUGCGCAGAUAUCAGGAGGAACACCGGUGGCGAGGGCGGGUCUCUGGGCCGUAACUGACGCUGAGGAGCGAAAGCGUGGGGAGCGAACAGG